UUAAGUUGAGGAAUUCUAAUAUACCUGCAGAAAGCUGUCCGUUAGCAUUACCAUUCAUUUCGGCGGCUGCUGCUUGGCUGGUGGAAUUACACAGCCUGCAUGCUGCCAUCUUUGCUGCAGUUGGAAAGGUUUUUUUUUUUUUUUGAUGAUCCACUCACCAGGAGCCAGUUACACCAGCAAUCUUGCACUGAAGAAACUUUUGCUGAAAACACUAACCAGAUAUCUCUUGAAAAAAACAACGAAUAAGACUCCUGCAGCACACGAGUAGUUGAAGGCAGUGGACGAGGACUUGAGCGCCGGCCAGAUUUGACAAAGCAAUGGGUCAUCAUCCGCAAACAAUCCCAGCACGGGCUGCCAUCUGUUUAUGGGAGAGGACAGAACACGGAUUCCUACAGUGUGAUAGUCUAUGACCCAUACUUGAGCACUUCUCAAUGUGUACUACAGAUUAGAGGUUGUUCAUUGAUAUGACAUUUCCAGUCUAAAUUGGGAAUAAAUAGUGCAAGGAUUCUAUUUUAGAUGAAUAAAU
Molecule: long non-coding RNA, 526 nt
Organism: Sinocyclocheilus anshuiensis
Lineage: Eukaryota; Metazoa; Chordata; Actinopteri; Cypriniformes; Cyprinidae
Exons: 3
Source: RefSeq, a predicted model, not a curated record